AUCCGGAAUUAUUGGCGUAAGAGCUCGUAGGCGGUUUGUCGCGUCUGCUGUGAAAUCCAGAGGCUCAACCUCCGACCUGCAGUCGGUACGGGCAGACUAGAGUGCGGUAGGGGAGAUUGGAAUUCCUGGUGUAGCGGUGGAAUGCGCAGAUAUCAGGAGGAACACCGAUGGCGAAGGCAGAUCUCUGGGCCGUAACUGACGCUGAGGAGCGAAAGGGUGGGGAGCAAACAGGCUUAGAUACCCUGGUAGUCCACCCCGUAAACGUUGGGAACUAGUUGUGGGGUCCAUUCCACGGAUUCCGUGACGCAGCUAACGCAUUAAGUUCCCCGCCUGGGGAGUACGGCCGCAAGGCUAAAACUCAAAGGAAUUGACGGGGACCCGCACAAGCGGCGGAGCAUGCGGAUUAAUUCGAUGCAACGCGAAGAACCUUACCAAGGCUUGACAUAUACGAGAACGGGCCAGAAAUGGUCAACUCUUUGGACACUCGUAAACAGGUGGUGCAUGGUUGUCGUCAGCUCGUGUCGUGAGAUGUUGGGUUAAGUCCCGCAACGAGCGCAACCCUCGUUCUAUGUUGCCAGCACGUAAUGGUGGGAACUCAUGGGAUACUGCCGGGGUCAACUCGGAGGAAGGUGGGGAUGACGUCAAAUCAUCAUGCCCCUUAUGUCUUGGGCUUCACGCAUGCUACAAUGGCCGGUACAAAGGGCUGCAAUACCGCGAGGUGGAGCGAAUCCCAAAAAGCCGGUCCCAGUUCGGAUUGAGGUCUGCAACUCGACCUCAUGAAGUCGGAGUCGCUAGUAAUCGCAGAUCAGCAACGCUGCGGUGAAUACGUUCCCGGGUCUUGUACACACCGCCCGUCAAGUCAUGAAAGUCGGUAACAC
RNAcentral lists this ribosomal RNA (878 nucleotides) under Microbacterium sp. RNAcentral describes it as "bacterial SSU rRNA". It matches the Rfam family "Bacterial small subunit ribosomal RNA", at positions 543 to 1420 of the family's 1533-position model. The record is from RNAcentral. Lineage: Bacteria; Bacillati; Actinomycetota; Actinomycetes; Micrococcales; Microbacteriaceae.